Molecule: ribosomal RNA, 307 nt
Filed under: uncultured soil bacterium
Lineage: Bacteria
Description: bacterial SSU rRNA
Rfam family: Bacterial small subunit ribosomal RNA
Source: RNAcentral
GGAUUGAACGCUGGCGGCAGGCCUAACACAUGCAAGUCGAGCGGUAGAGAGGUGCUUGCACCUCUUGAGAGCGGCGGACGGGUGAGUAAAGCCUAGGAAUCUGCCUGGUAGUGGGGGAUAACGCUCGGAAACGGACGCUAAUACCGCAUACGUCCUACGGGAGAAAGCAGGGGACCUUCGGGCCUCGCCGCCAUUAGAUGAGCCUAGGUCGGAUUAGCUAGUUGGUGAGGUAAUGGCUCACCAAGGCGACGAUCCGUAACUGGUCUGAGAGGAUGAUCAGUCACACUGGAACUGAGACACGGUCCAG